Long non-coding RNA from Olea europaea var. sylvestris, 2220 nucleotides. RefSeq lists it as uncharacterized. The record is from RefSeq and is a predicted model, not a curated record. Lineage: Eukaryota; Viridiplantae; Streptophyta; Magnoliopsida; Lamiales; Oleaceae. The transcript has 2 exons.
CACGUACGACAUAAUCCUUGGAAAAUUUCACCCUUUUUUCCUAUAAAUUACGUGAACACCCCAACAUAAGCCAAAUCCUUGUGAAAUAAUUGGAUUCAAACUCUGAAUCCGGAAACCAGAUUACUUUUGUUCUUCCAUCUAAAUCUGCUGCUCAAAUUCCUUCAGCAUCUGAGUUUCUUGAUGACUUGCUGCCUUUUAUGAGUAUAUAUAUUCAACCUUCUUUAGAAAGGAAGAAAUUAAUAAGAUUAACGAUCAUGAGAAGAAAUUGAUCCGGGGUUGUAACGUGUAACCGGUAUUGGCAACACAACCAUCCCAACAGGAAGAGGACGCAGCUUCAGUAUUGCUAAUCUAUCUUCUUGCUAGUGCAUCGAUAAGGAAGUAUCUCAUCUGAAAAUUAAACUUUUGCUGCCUCUGUUACAAUGUUGAGCAAUCAUAUAGAAGUUAGUGUCUGCGAUAAUAGAAAACUUUUUAUAUGUGUUAUGUCUCCAACAAUACUCUCACGCAAAGGUGCACCAUCACAUUGUGUUUGAAAAAUUCUUAUUCUUGAAAUAUUAGUUAACAACCAUGUCAUUUUCAGCUAUUUGUCCAAAGUUAUGGAAAUAUAUAUUUUGUGCUUGCAGAUCUCAGUAGAAUCAAGGUAGAUUCAUCAUAUAUGAUAUGACGUUUGAUGAGGCAAGAGCCCGAUAAAACCACUAUUUUAAGGUAAUUAAAUUAUUGAGUGAACUUGUAUUCUUCAAAUACUUCUGUCAGAGAAGGGUGCCCCUCUUUGUGUUGGCGUAUGAAUUCUUUUGUAAUUCUUCUAUUUAAUUACAAGUUACUUAAUCUAGUGCAUAAGAUAUUGGAGAUUUAAGUCAGGAUCCAGACCUAAUAUUGAAAUACUCGUUGAAGAGCAAUUCAAUAUAAUCCCUCCGCCCCGUUUAUAGUGAAUGGUUUUGUUUUUCACAAAGAUUAAAAAAAUAUUAUUUAAUGCUAUUGAAAAAACAAUUUUUGCCAAACACUUUUCCAAUUUACCUUUAUUUAUAUUUGUAUAAUUUCAAGAUUAAGUAGGAAAAAUUAGUUAUAAUUAAGCAAAUUAAAUAAGGGUAUAUUAGUAAAUGAACAAAACAAAACAUUCUCAAUAAAGAAAUAAGACUAUAUAAUUAAGACAAGAAAAUAAAGAGAGUCAACCUAUAUAAAUGGGACGGAGAGAGUAUAAGAGAGGUUGGAUCAAUUUCCUUUUACGUCUAAAGGAGUCAAGAUCCAAUUUUUGCGGUUCCAUUUAUCGUGUGAUUCCCCACACAGAUUUGGACGGGUUUUAGCCUUUAUGUCUUUUGGUACUCCCCCAUCUUUUCCAUGUCGUAUAUAUUGAUUGUCAGCCGUUAACUUUAUAAGCCAAUUACCAAAGUUUUAUCCCGAGACAAUUACAAAUUAUUGUUCCCGUAUGUGAGAUUUUCCGUAGAUGGUGUAAAACCUAUUGCCACACUUGAUUUAGGUAAGGACAAAUAUCUUGGAAGAAUAACCUAGAUUUUUGUAUUGGAGCUAUUUAUGUAUGUUAACUAAUUAAUAGAUACGUAUGGCAAGCGAAUUCACGUCAUUCAAGAUUGUAUCGAGCUCCUCUGCUGUUGAAACUGGUUAAUGUGGGUGAGUGAACAAUUAUGAACAAAGAACACAGAGAGAUUUGGAGAAGAUCCUAAGUACGUAGUUUUCUCAAUAGAAGAUAAUCACGAUGUUGGUUUUAACGAUCAUCUCAAAGCCUUGCCAAUAGAAAGACUGGAACGCCCAUGAGCUCACAUUGAUAUAGGUUUGCUGAUACACCAAACAUAUUUCAAUUCUUGAAUUGCUUAAUUUUCUUUAAUUUUGGGUAGAUCAUCUAUUGUCAUCCAAAUUCAAACUGGGUAUUAGCACAUGAAUAAUCUUUUGGAAAUAUAAUAAUCGCUGGUACAUAUACUACGUAAGAUACAUGUAAAGUGUUGUCUUUACUUUAAUUAGUCACUAUAGGGCAACUGGGUACUAAUUAUGUCACUGAAGGCCGAUCAUACGGUGCUUUUCUUUGAAAGUUCCAAGUAUGUUAUCUAGGAGCUAAAGGUACAUGGAGGGUGAUGAAUUCUCUUGUAUCUCCCUCAAUAAUUGCUAGAAAUGUAGGGAAUUCAACUUCAAUUUUCCGUGAUAAAAAGCAGCACAUGAGAAUUCAUGAUAUUAAAGAAUCUUCUUAUCCUUCAAUGAUGUACAUAUGAAUUCUAA